UACGUAGGGCGCAAGCGUUGUCCGGAAUUAUUGGGCGUAAAGAGCUCGUAGGCGGUUUGUCGCGUCUGUCGUGAAAGCUUGGGGCUUAACCCCAAGUCUGCGGUGGAUACGGGCAGACUAGAGGCAGGUAGGGGAGAACGGAAUUCCCGGUGUAGCGGUGAAAUGCGCAGAUAUCAGGAGGAACACCGGUGGCGAAGGCGGGUCUCUGGGCAACAACUGACGCUGAGGAGCGAAAGCGUGGGGAGCGAACAGG
This 253-nucleotide ribosomal RNA is filed under the name uncultured bacterium. RNAcentral describes it as "partial 16S ribosomal RNA". It matches the Rfam family "Bacterial small subunit ribosomal RNA", at positions 524 to 776 of the family's 1533-position model. The record is from RNAcentral.